This 407-nucleotide ribosomal RNA is filed under the name uncultured bacterium. RNAcentral's name for it is "bacterial SSU rRNA". It matches the Rfam family "Bacterial small subunit ribosomal RNA", at positions 355 to 774 of the family's 1533-position model. The record is from RNAcentral.
UGAGGAAUAUUGCACAAUGGGCGCAAGCCUGAUGCAGCAACGCCGCGUGAGGGACGACGGCCUUCGGGUUGUAAACCUCUUUUAGUAGGGAAGAAGCGAAAGUGACGGUACCUGCAGAAAAAGCACCGGCUAACUACGUGCCAGCAGCCGCGGUAAUACGUAGGGUGCAAGCGUUUUCCGGACUUAUUGGGCGUAAAGAGCUCGUAGGCGGUUGGUCGCGUCUGCUGUGAAAACCCGAGGCUCAACAUCGGGCCUGCAGUGGGUACGGGCCGACUAGAGUGCGGUAGGGGAGAAUGGAAUUCCUGGUGUAGCGGUGGAAUGCGCAGAUAUCAGGAGGAACACCGAUGGCGAAGGCAGUUCUCUGGGCCGUAACUGACGCUGAGGAGCGAAAGCAUGGGGAGCGAACA